GUCAAAAGCUAGCUGCAGGCUUGCAACGAGUAGUAUAUAAGAGGCCAGGCAGCUAGAUAGCGAGUGAGCAUUGAGGCGUACGAGUAGGAUGACUGUGAAGAUGAAGCCGGUGGUGGCGCUGUUCCUAGUGACCGUCCUCAUCGCCUCGCAUGGUGCGAUGAUGCAGUGGGCGGCGGAGGCGGAGACGUGCAACUACCCAAUCUACAAGUGCUAGGGGGUGUGCUACAAGAGAGGCAAGUGCAACGCCUGCUGCAAGCAGCUCGGCUUCCUGGGCGGCAUGCUCUGCCUCUGCUGCCACGAGGACGACGACCAGCCGCCGCCCUCCUCCUCCUCCUCCACUCACCUCGCCAUCGAUCACGAUCACGAUCACGAUCACGCCGCCGGCAUGCCAUGAUCAUCAUUCAUCCAUCUAUAUAUAUUGCUCAUUUGCUCGCGUCUAUAUACACACACACAUACCUGCACUGCAGGUACCAAUCUCAUCUACUCCCAUUUAUAGUUGGAGUACAUAUAUAUGUUGGCUGGAUCAUGAGCCACCGGAUGUGAUGUGAGCAAUUAAUAAUAAUAACCACGGAUUACUGAUGCUGCAAA
Molecule: long non-coding RNA, 588 nt
Organism: Oryza sativa Japonica Group (Japanese rice)
Lineage: Eukaryota; Viridiplantae; Streptophyta; Magnoliopsida; Poales; Poaceae
Source: RefSeq, a predicted model, not a curated record